CAAAAAAUAUGACUAUGGAUAUAGAUCGCCUGACUUAGAUAACCGGUCUAUAAGAUUUUAGUAUAAUUAUAAAAAAUAAAAAUCUUACCCUAUGUAAUAAAAACCUACCCCUCAACCCGCACGCCGCUCUCCCUUCCCCUCUUUUUUCUCUCUCCACUUUCUCUUCUCAUCUCCAUUCCUCUUUCUCUCCUCUCCUCUCAUCUCAUCUUCUCAAACUAAAAAUAAAAAUCAUAAUUAGGCAAGUAAAUCUAUUUUUCGGUUUUAAAUCAAGAUCAACGCAUGGUCAUUUGUAUCAUUUCCCUCAAAGUUUCAAAAAUUAAAUUCGAUUGCAUUCAAUCUAGAUUUGAGAAUUGCAGAUCGAAGAAAUGUGGAGGGUUUGGAGCCGGAAAAUGAAUUCAAUGGAUUUCAUUCAAAUCAGUUUCAAUGAACUGGUAAUGCUUCACUGCAACGCCGCCGUAGAUCGAGCCGGAUAAGCCGUCGUCGUUUAAUUUGGAUGCGUUGUAAUGAGGUGUUGCUGCUAUGAAACGGAUUAUAAAGUCUAAAGAUGCAUAAAGGUGUUUGGUGCGACUUCUUUAGAGGUUGGUGGAGGCUAUGCGGUGGUUGAGAUUGGUGGAAGCGCUGCUAGUGGUGUGGUUGGUGCAGAGGUUUCGACUUUCGAUGGCAAUUCAAGUCGAUGCACUUCUAAAGUCGUUGUUAGCACAUUGAAAAUUAAUUAGUUGUGUUAGAAAACUUGUAUUGUAAUUUUUUUUCCUUAAAGAAUUUAGUUAUUAUCAUUCA
Long non-coding RNA from Chenopodium quinoa (quinoa), 777 nucleotides. RefSeq lists it as uncharacterized. The transcript is spliced from 2 exons. The record is from RefSeq and is a predicted model, not a curated record. Lineage: Eukaryota; Viridiplantae; Streptophyta; Magnoliopsida; Caryophyllales; Amaranthaceae.